GAAGUGUCUAACGCGGGUCUGCCGCUUUCGCAGGCGCCUCCUCGUGCCCCGUCCUGGAGCCGGCAGUGACAGGAGCAGGACUUGGAAACAUCCAGCGCUCCAUGCGUGAAGGAUCCUGGGCGCCAGACUCCACAGAUGGAGACGACCCGAGCAGGGUGGGGGCCCGGAGGAAAUCAGCCUGUGCAGGGCCAUGUCCCGAGAUGCAAGGAAGCUAGCAGCAGAUUUGGCGGCAGGAGGGAGUGGUGAGUGGCUGGACACAAAAUUUGGUGGUGGGGUGGGUGUGGUGCUUAGUGGCUGGAUGUGAAGCCAACGGCAGUGACACUCCACUCCACUCCACUCCACAGAAAUAAUGCUGCAACCUCACCUUCUAUAAAAGGCUUACUCUGUUGCAGCGGCAGUGCCACCCCACUCAGUGUGCCACUCCACCCAAAUCUGCAGGGCCCCCCAGAGCGUGGGGCUUGGGGUGGUAACUCUAAUUUGGCCCCCGCUAGGGAUGGCCCUGCCCAUAGACUUCAUAUUCUCCUUCCCCGUCCUUGGGUGAGGUGUUGAGCACUUUGAUCUGUGCAGGCUUCAGGUUUUGUUAGCCACUCUUCCUCAUGUUCCCAAAACCCAGCCCCUGUGAACCUGUCCUACCUGACAGCCUUUCCUAGUCUCCCCUGCUGCCAAAUCUGCCACCAGCUUCCUUGUGUUCAGGGGUUUGAUUUGAUGGGCUGAUUUGCCUUGGGCCUCACACCCUGCUCAGGUCGUCUCUGGUUGCCGGAGAGCAGAGAGAAUGUCUCCUUGCCCCACCGGCUCUUGGUUUCUCUCAGCUUGAAGCUGCUUAUCUGUUUCCGUUCCCCUUUUCCCUCCUCCUCUCCCUCUGCUGCCACUGUCUCCUCAAUGUGCUGGAUGUUGGUGUAAGCCAGGUCUGUGGGCCACACAGGCGGUUCCGGGGAUAUGCAGCUACACUGGUCCCAGUUACCCCGACCAUUACUGGUCCCAGUUACCCUGUUUUCCUGUCCCAGCUAUCCCCCUACCCCCUUUUCUGGUUCUAAUUAAAAAGCUAUACUGGUCCCAGCUACCCCCACCUUUAGUGAUCCCAAUUACCCAGCUCUACUGGUCCCAGUUACACCCCCACUUCACUGGUCCCAAUUACCCAGCUA
Long non-coding RNA from Alligator mississippiensis (American alligator), 1142 nucleotides. RefSeq lists it as uncharacterized. Lineage: Eukaryota; Metazoa; Chordata; Crocodylia; Alligatoridae. The transcript is spliced from 2 exons. The record is from RefSeq and is a predicted model, not a curated record.